This 484-nucleotide ribosomal RNA is filed under the name uncultured bacterium. RNAcentral describes it as "partial 16S ribosomal RNA". It matches the Rfam family "Bacterial small subunit ribosomal RNA", at positions 30 to 507 of the family's 1533-position model. The record is from RNAcentral.
AUUGAACGCUGGCGGUAGGCCUAACACAUGCGAGUCGAGCGGCAGCACAGAAAGUGCUUGCGCUUUCGGGUGGCGACUGGCGGGCGGGUCAUAGAAAUAUCCGAAUUUGCGUUGUCUAGGGGCCUGACGCAGGCACACUUACGCCAUUCCCGCUGACGGCGUACGGGGGAAAGCAUCGGACCUUCGGACCUCGCGUGAUCCUAGGUCGGAUUAGCUAGUUGGCGGGGUAAAGGCCUACCAAGGCGACGAUCCGUAGCUGGUCUGAGAGGAUGAUCAGUCACACUGGAACUGAGACACGGUCCAGACUCCUACGGGAGGCAGCAGUGGGGAAUAUUGGACAAUGGGCGCAAGCCUGAUCCAGCCAUGCCGCGUGGGUGAAGAAGGCCUUCGGGUUGUAAAGCACUUUUGUUGGGAAAGAAAAGCAGUAGGUUAAUACCUCGCUGUUCUGACGUUACCCACAGAAUAAGCACCGGCUAACUUCGUG